This is a long non-coding RNA of Solanum dulcamara, 1322 nucleotides long. RefSeq lists it as uncharacterized. The transcript has 3 exons. NCBI's taxonomy places the organism in Eukaryota, Viridiplantae, Streptophyta, Magnoliopsida, Solanales, Solanaceae. The record is from RefSeq and is a predicted model, not a curated record.
AUGUGCUCUUAUGUCAAAUUGCUAAGUAGCUAACAUGUGUUUCAUUCAUGUCAUUGCCUGAUUUUACUCUGUUUUGAACUUUUCUUUUGCAAUUUCAUUCUUCUCCGAUAUUGUCUCAUAACUUACGGAAGCAAUAUAAGAAUUGCCUUGGGAAGCGCGUGCUGAUGUAAAGCUAAAAGUUGAAUCUGACAACUCAUGGGCUUCAAAGAUGAUCAAUUAUAAUUUAGUAGUUUGUUGACUAUUCCACGCGCUCAAGAGCAUCCAUUGCUGCCUUUGAUUCUUUUCAAUUAAGCACAAAGUUAAUCGGAUUGCCUCAAAUGACAGAGUUCUCCGAGGUCUUAAAUUUUGGAGAUCUGAGAGGGAAAUGCAAACCAGUUUUAAUAAACCCACUGUCUGUUUCAUACCAGCAAGGAAAACAAGUAUCACAAUACUGUGAAUUAACGAUCAAGGAAAACAAGUAUCACAAUACUGUGAAUUAACGAUCAAGCCUAAGUUUUUGCUUUUCUUUCACUUAACACAUCUCACUGCCACGUUUCAAUCAUAGUGUUUUCAGUUAGUUGAUCUCAUUUGUUUUUUACUUGUGUAAAAACAUAUAGUUUUCAUGAUUCAUCUUCCUUGAUUUCUAAUGUAGGCUCGAAUAUGCAGAACAAAAUGGCUAAGAAAAUCUUGAGUACAUCAAGCUAUCAUGGAACUUCUUCGUUGCUGAAGAACUUAUAGCCUUGCUUCUGUCAUCUUCAUUUCUUUUUGAUAUGUUCCACAAAUGUCACCUAAUUUCUGAAAAUUUCUCAGAUAUAUUGCUCUUGUUUCAGGAAUUUUUCAAUAGGGAAGCACCAUUUCUUGAGGCAAUAUGGUAAUGCCAUUAUCUAGGAGCAGCAAAAUCUAUAAAUGCAUACCAUUUUUUCAUAUGCUUCUCCCACAAAAUGAUCAGUUGAACAUCUUUCAAAGAACUACAAUCAGCCAUACAGCAAAUACAGUUGGUAAAGGCCUCUUAAUGAUGCAUUCCAAAGUCAAGACAGCCAAACUCAUUUGGAAUUAACUAUGACAGACAGAAGUCAUCAAGGAUUGCUCUUAAAGCUGUGUGUUACGGACUUAGACUUCAACUAAGACCUCCGUGCGGCACUUGACAACUUACUCACGACUCUUUCACGAUCUUGCAAACUCCAAUAAGCCUUUUAAAACUAGAUCGCAAAGGAAACGCUAGAUUAGAAGAAAUACACAAGAGAGUUUUUAAAAAGGACUUGUAUAUUGCUUUGGAAGAUUGCUUGUUGCUUGAUGGAUACAAAUGAAUGACUCCUUCUAUUUAUAUUACUCCCUCAGGGAUU